RNAcentral lists this ribosomal RNA (1188 nucleotides) under Escherichia coli. RNAcentral's name for it is "partial 23S ribosomal RNA". It matches the Rfam family "Bacterial large subunit ribosomal RNA", at positions 1 to 1230 of the family's 2925-position model. The record is from RNAcentral. Lineage: Bacteria; Pseudomonadati; Pseudomonadota; Gammaproteobacteria; Enterobacterales; Enterobacteriaceae. RNAcentral also lists the same sequence under 2 other names.
GUUAAGCGACUAAGCGUACACGGUGGAUGCCCUGGCAGUCAGAGGCGAUGAAGGACGUGCUAAUCUGCGAUAAGCGUCGGUAAGGUGAUAUGAACCGUUAUAACCGGCGAUUUCCGAAUGGGGAAACCCAGUGUGAUUCGUCACACUAUCAUUAACUGAAUCCAUAGGUUAAUGAGGCGAACCGGGGGAACUGAAACAUCUAAGUACCCCGAGGAAAAGAAAUCAACCGAGAUUCCCCCAGUAGCGGCGAGCGAACGGGGAGCAGCCCAGAGCCUGAAUCAGUGUGUGUGUUAGUGGAAGCGUCUGGAAAGGCGCGCGAUACAGGGUGACAGCCCCGUACACAAAAAUGCACAUGCUGUGAGCUCGAUGAGUAGGGCGGGACACGUGGUAUCCUGUCUGAAUAUGGGGGGACCAUCCUCCAAGGCUAAAUACUCCUGACUGACCGAUAGUGAACCAGUACCGUGAGGGAAAGGCGAAAAGAACCCCGGCGAGGGGAGUGAAAAAGAACCUGAAACCGUGUACGUACAAGCAGUGGGAGCACGCUUAGGCGUGUGACUGCGUACCUUUUGUAUAAUGGGUCAGCGACUUAUAUUCUGUAGCAAGGUUAACCGAAUAGGGGAGCCGAAGGGAAACCGAGUCUUAACUGGGCGUUAAGUUGCAGGGUAUAGACCCGAAACCCGGUGAUCUAGCCAUGGGCAGGUUGAAGGUUGGGUAACACUAACUGGAGGACCGAACCGACUAAUGUUGAAAAAUUAGCGGAUGACUUGUGGCUGGGGGUGAAAGGCCAAUCAAACCGGGAGAUAGCUGGUUCUCCCCGAAAGCUAUUUAGGUAGCGCCUCGUGAAUUCAUCUCCGGGGGUAGAGCACUGUUUCGGCAAGGGGGUCAUCCCGACUUACCAACCCGAUGCAAACUGCGAAUACCGGAGAAUGUUAUCACGGGAGACACACGGCGGGUGCUAACGUCCGUCGUGAAGAGGGAAACAACCCAGACCGCCAGCUAAGGUCCCAAAGUCAUGGUUAAGUGGGAAACGAUGUGGGAAGGCCCAGACAGCCAGGAUGUUGGCUUAGAAGCAGCCAUCAUUUAAAGAAAGCGUAAUAGCUCACUGGUCGAGUCGGCCUGCGCGGAAGAUGUAACGGGGCUAAACCAUGCACCGAAGCUGCGGCAGCGACGCUGAUGCGUUGUUGGGUA